Cylas formicarius (sweet potato weevil) is the source of this 3227-nucleotide RNA transcript. It is a transcript of the gene named tRNA dimethylallyltransferase, with no coding region annotated. The transcript is spliced from 12 exons. NCBI's taxonomy places the organism in Eukaryota, Metazoa, Arthropoda, Insecta, Coleoptera, Brentidae. The record is from RefSeq and is a predicted model, not a curated record.
AUUCUGUGGAAAAAUCUUUUUUAUUUCCCUUAAAAGUUUAACCCCAGAAGUGUGUGUAUACGUAUUUUGUUUUCUUAGUACCAGUAGCAGGGCCUUUUCAAAAAGAAGUGGUCACGAAAAAAAGUUUUACCAGGCCGUGUCCACCGAUGUUCCGAUUUGAAGAUUGCCAAAAGUCUGUUUCAGACCUUCAGCAGAAAUGUAAUGUAUUAAUUUGAAACUACUUCUAUUAAAAGGACAGACAAAAUGAACGGCCUUGCAGUCCAGCAGGUUAAAUAUCUAUAUUACGCAACAAAGAGAUUGAUUACAAUGGGAAGUAGAUUACCUUUGGUUGUGAUUUUGGGGUCCACCGGAUCGGGGAAGACCAAAUUGUCAUUGGAAUUGGCAAAAAAAUUUGGAGGGGAAGUAAUUGGGGCUGAUUCUAUGCAGAUAUACAAAGGUUUGGACAUAAUAACUGCAAAGGCUACCAAAGAUGAACAGCUUAUUGCACCACACCACAUGAUUGAUGUUUUGGAGCCCCACGAAACUUGUACAGUGGUUGAGUAUCGCAACAAUGUACUCAAAUUAAUUGAUGAGCUUUUAAAUGAAAAUAAAUUGCCUGUUGUGGUUGGAGGGACUAAUUAUUACAUUGAAGCACUACUUUGGAAAAUUCUAGUGGAGAGCGAGAAUGCUAAGAAACAUGAUCAACCUGGAGUUUUACCCAACAAUGACCAUGAAAUGCCUAGCGAAGAGUUGCACAAAAAGCUGAAAUCUUUGGACCCCAGUAUGGCCAAGAGAUUGCAUCCAAACAACAAACGAAAAAUUAUUAGGGCUCUUGAAGUUUAUUACCAAAAGGGAAAAAAAUUAAGCGAACUCUAUGAUGAACAAAAGUCGUCAUUUGGGGGUUCCAAAUCUGGCGGUGGUUUGAGAUAUUCCAAUGCUAUAGUGUUAUGGGUGAAUUGUGAUCAGGAGACUUUGGAUAAAAGGUUGGAUGAUCGGGUUGAUGCCAUGUUGAAGAAUGGACUUUUAGACGAGUUACUCAGUUUCCAUAAGAUUUUUAAUGAGCACAGGCUUAAGACGGGCGAGGAAAUGGACUAUACAAAAGGAAUAUUCCAGUCAAUUGGAUUCAAAGAGUUUCAUACCUACUUGAUGUUGAAGGAAGAUGAACGACAGACUCCUGAGGGUCAAAAGCAACUGGAACAAGGGGUUCAGCAGCUUAAGAUGGUGACAAGGCGUUAUGCAAAGAAGCAAAAAAGAUGGGUCAGAAACCGUUUUUUGGGAAGAAAAGAUAGACAGGUGCCGCCGGUUUACGAGCUUGACUCGACGGACGUGUCAAAAUGGAACGAAAACGUCACGGUGCCGGCUUUCGAAAUCGUGGAAAGUUAUAUCGCGGGUGUAAAGUGCGUUCGCGAGCCUCUUCCGGUGCGCGAGUUGGGCUCGACGCCCAAUAGCGAGGACGAGACCCAUUUCUGCGAGGCGUGCGAGCGGGUGUUCAUCGGCGAGCACCAGUGGCGGGGGCAUCUCAGAUCCCAGAAGCACAGGAGGAGGUUGAACGCGUUGGGAAAGGGGAAGGGGGUUGCCGCGUGACCCACGUUUGAAGGCCAGUUAUUCCCACCGGAGGGCGUCUCACCCAAAAGAGGAUACUCUGGACUUACACUCUCGUGCAAAUUUAUAUCCUGAGAGCAUAACAGCUUCAUCGCCUGAACGUUGUAGCAACUGUGUGGUCGUCUGAUGCCACCAACAUCCUCCAGUUUCUUCCCCACCGCUGACGUUGAGCUUGGUUAUGGCGUACUUGAAUUUGCGUUUCGCCUUGGCGUAAUUGUCUCGGAUCGCGAGUGGCACGUUCCAGAAAAGCUCAGCCACGUGCCCAACGCUGCGCAAAUGUCACGGGAAUGGCGAUAAAGCGACGCGAGCGGUUGCCAAGCGACGGCGUAAACAUCGCCCAUUCGGAGGCCUUCGCUACGUACUGUAAAGUCUGUUCAUAGAUAUAAGAAAGUGACUAACUGAUACGAAAUAAGGAAAGACCCGGGCAAGCUGUAAGAAUGAAAUAUGGCCGAACAGAAUUUGCCCAACUUUGUGGAGGGAUCUUAAAAACUACGGUUUCUAUAAAUUUGAGGACAUUGGAGUUAACACGGGGAAAAACAUUGUUACGACGAAUGGCAGAUUUCAGUUGGUGCCAAACAUGUUCAAUGGGAUUAAAUAUACAGUGGUUUUCGGACGCUCCUGACCAGGAUGGGAUGAUGAGGCAACGUCGCGGCGCCUGUUAUUGGCGUGACUACGUCCAUAAUAAAAAGCACAGUCAUCGAAAAAUGGGAAAAUUUCGCCGACAAAACGAUUGUAGGAAUACAAGAGAUGCAUAGAUAAAUGAUGAUUUCCAAGAAACGAGAAAACAAAUAGGGUGCUGCGUUUCAGAAUUAACAAAAAAAAUCGAAAAUAUCAUGGAAAGGAAUACCAAAUAGGUUGCUUAGAACAAGUUGCAAAAAAAUGACGAUUAUGAAUGUAUAUUGGAUAGGGUUAAUCGCAACAAAGUUGCUGAGGUCAGAUUACUGGCACAUAUCGCAACCAAUGACGAGGUUGGAGCCUGUUUAAAGAUUAUAACCGAUUUAAAUAUCAGUUUCUCGUAUCCAUUAAAGUAGAAAUGCUAUAAUUUCGGCUUUUUCGGAAGUGUCACAGAAACUUUUGUAUUUUCAAUUUGGUCAACUCGGCUUAGAACCCUAGAGAUGUCAUCGAAAAAAAAAAAGAGAGUAUUAUUCAAAACGAUAAGGUGCAAAAAAAUCGUAAUCAGAUUUUCAAGUUUGCUAAUAGAAUUUAAUCGACGAUCCUCUUAUUAUGCCCACAAAAUACAUGUGGAUUAUUCCGAAAAAUCCGCUUAAAUUUGUAACAUGUAAACGCAUUACAUACUGGGCGAUUCAGAAAACAUUCCCCUAAUUUAUAAGGUAAAUAAAAUAUUAACACAUGACGUUACCUUAGUUAAUAAGUAUGAGUGGGAAAAUGACACACGGCUCUGGAACGAACUUUUUAAGAAAUUUUUUAGAAAAAGUUUUUUGGACCCCUUUUACAUGUACCCCAUCACAUGCAUGCAUAUUCGGACACACGUAACACGAAAAAGCACCAUAUUUUACGCAAAGUUCAAAAUACGUUAAAAAAGAGCAUUCUAAUGGAAAGAAAUCCAAUUGGAGAGGGUAAAUAAAAACUCUAGCAAUUACAAAAAUAUAUUUUUUUAUCUUUAUUUAAACUUAUUAUCAUAAUAG